UUUGUUUUUGUUUCUGUUUUUGUGUGCUGCACAUAUUAUUACCUCUGUAAUAAUUGUGUUUCCUUGCUUUAAUUAGUGUUUGAGCCCAGUAAUACCUUUGGGAUGGUCUAUGGUGCUUGCAAGUUGAUUUUGCUGAAAAACAGAAACUUUCGCUCUCAGUCCAGAAAUUUUAUAAAUACACUGGAAUGUGCUUUUGAUGUGAUUUUUUACACAAAGUUGGUUUAAAAAUUUCCGAGGUUGUCCUAAUGUAUCACAAUUUUUGGAGUUACAGAAGUAUUCCAAGUAAACAGAUUGCUACAUACUGUUCUGUUUUUGACAGAUUCUGUUUCUUUGUGUUGUUUGUGGAUUUCGAUGAAUCUAUGGGUUGUAUUGGGGGUAUGAACCAUGGAGAAGUUAGAAUACAGUAAAUAUUACAUUAAUAUAAAUAAAGAAUGAGUUCACAACAGUACCUAAGUGGUGAUUUAUCUUUCUUAUACUAACGAAUCUCACGAAUUUUCUGUUGAGUUUUGUGUUGUGAAGUUUUCAUGUUUUGGGUAAUUAAAGAUUUGAUGGACUAUCGAAUAAGGAGUGGCAAGGGCCUAAUAUUGGGGAUUCCCAAGGCACCCCAAGCCAUAUUCAAGGAUACCAAAAAGCCUAAUCUUGGGGAUGCCCCGGAAGGCAUCCCCUCUUUCGUCUUCAUUCCAUCUGUAAAUUUACUUGAGGCUAUUUUUUUAUUCACCACAUAAUAUGUGUUUUGCUUGGAGUGUCUUGUAUAAUAUGAGUCUUUACUUUUUAGUUUGCCACAAUCAUCCUUUCUGCACACAUAUUUUGAGAGAGACACACACUGAAUCGUGAAUUUUUUAAAAUACUCUUUAUGCUUCACUUAUAUCUUUUGAGCUAGGUAAUGCUCUAGUACAUCACUUAUAUAUUUUAGAGCACGCGGUGUUAUGAAAUUAUUAAACUCUCGUACUUCACUUAUAUUAUUUUGAAGGUUCUUUAAACAGCAUGGUAAUUGGUUUAAGGUUAUGAAUUUAGUCCUAAUAUGAUAGGCUUCCAAAAGGGAUAUAAUAAAAACUUUCAUAUUAAGUGCAUUGAAUAUGAUGAGAAGUUUGAUUCCUUGCAUAUAGUUUUGAGACGUGAGUAUGGUGAGAUGAGAGUCAUGCUAGUAAGUAAUUGUGAAUUAGAAAAAAUACUUGUGUUGAAGCUUGUGAUUCCCGUAGCAUGCACGUAUGGUGAACCAUUGUGUGAUGAAGUCGGAGCAUGACUUGUUUAAUUAUUGUCAGCCUUUGUGUGGAGGUCGGGAUCGCGCCAUGGUUAACUCUUACCACCCCUUUUCCUAGGAGCAUGCGUCUAAUACUUUCCUUAGAUAACUAAUAUGCUUUUGCAAUAAGUAUGUGAGUUCUUUAUGACUAAUGUUGAGUUCAUGGAUUAUACACACACUCAUCCUUCCACCUUUGCUAGCCUCUCUAGUAAGCAACUUUCGCCGGUACAUUAAACCCACCUUCCUCAAAAUAACCACCAUAUAUUUUCCUCAAAAUGGACACCAAACCUACGUAUUAUGGCAUUUUCAUAGCCAUUCCGAGAUAUAUUGCCAUGCAACACCACCGUCCCGUUUUUAUGACACGCACCAUCACUUCCAUAUUGCUUGUAGAGUCAUACUUUGUUCUAAGAUAUCGAGUUGUAAUCUUUUAAGUUGUAAGUAAAUAGAAGCGAUGAUUUUACAUUAUUAGAGCAUUGUCUCGUGUGAGAAAAAAAGGAUGAUGGAAGCUAUGAUUCCCUCACAAGUUGGGACGAGUCUCUGGACUUUACAAAAAAAUAAAAGAGGCCUGCGAACCCCAUAAAAAAGGCCACAGAAGGCCAUCCAAGAAAAGAAAAAAAUGAGAGAAAGAGAGAAGGGACAAUGCUACUAUCUUUUUCCACACUUAUGCUUCAAAGUAGCACCAUGUUCUUCAUAGAGAGUUUCCUAUGUUGUCAUUUUCACGUAACUAGUGGUACACAUCUUUUGCACAACAACUUACUUUUCUUUUUGAGCUUUCAUACACUUAUAGCUCUAGUGCAUUUGUUGCAUGGGAAUCCCUACUCACUCACAUUAAUAUCUAUUGAUGGGCAUCUCCAUAGCCCGUUGAUAUGCCUAGUUGAUGUGAGACUAUCUUCUUCCUUUCUUUUUGCAACCUCCACCACAUUCUAUUCCACCUAUAGUGCUAUAUCCAUGGCUCACGCUCAUGUAUUGCGAGAGAGUUGAAAAGGUUUGAGAACAUAAAAAGUGUGAAACAAUUGCUUGAUUUUCACCGGGGUUGUGCAUGAUUUAGAUACUUUGUGUGCUGAAGAUGGAGCAUAGACAGACCAUAUGGUUUUAUAGGGAUAACUUUCUAAGACCAUGCUAUUUCGAAAGGAAGCAAUUACCUUAUUAGUAUGCUUGAAGUAUUAUUGUUUUUAUGUCAAUAUAGACUUUUGUUUUGAGUCCUAUGGAUUUGAAUAUUCAUGCCACAUUAUAAAAUAUUGCAUGGAUAAAUAUGUUAGGUAGUAUUCCACAUAAAAAUUCUGUUUUUAUCAGUUACCUACUCGAGGACGAGGAGGAAUUAAGCUUGGGGAUGCUGAUACGUCUCCAACAUAUCUAUAAUUUUUUAUUGUUCCAUGCUAUUAUAUUAUAUGUUUUGGAUGUUUUAUAUGCAUUUAUAUGGUGUUUUACAUUAUUUUUGGGACUAACCUAUUAAUCUAGAGCCUCGUGCCAGUUUCUGUUUUUUUUCACGUUUUUGAAUAUUGAAGAUAAGGAAUAUUAAACGGAGUCCAAACGGAAUAAAUCUCCGAAAAGAUUUUUCUGGACCAGAAGACACACAACAGACUUGGAGUAGGGGACAAGGCAGUUACCGGGAGGCCACAAGCCUGCAGGGCGCGCCCUGGGAGGUGGCCGCGCCCCCUGGCUUGUGGGCCCCCUGCAGGUCUCCUAACCCUAAUUCUUGGCCUAUAAAUUCCCACAUAUUCCCGAAACACCAAAAAGAGCAACAAGAAUACUUUUACACCGCCGGGAGCCUCUUUUCCCGAGAGAUCCAAUCUGGGAGCCUUUUCUGGUAAUCUGCCGGAGAGAGAAUUGAUGACGGAGGGCAUCUACAUCAACUCCAUUGCCCCUCCGAUGAUGUGUGAGUAGUUCACCACAGACCUACGAGUCCAUAGCUAGUAGCCAGAUAGCUUCUUCUCUCUGUUUGAUCUUGAAUACCAUGUUCUUCAUGACCUUCAUGGAGACCUAUCUGAUGUAAUACUCUUUUGCGGUAUGUUUGUUGAGAUCGGAUGAAUUGUGAGUUUAUGUUCAGAUUAUCCAUGAAUAUUAUUUGAGUCUCUUCUAAAUUCUUAUAUGCAUGAUUUCAUAUCUUUGCAAGUCUAUUUAAUUUAUUUGUUUUGGUUUGGCCAACUAGAUUGGUAAUUCUUGCAAUGAGAGACCUUGUGGAAACGGGCCCGCCUGUUGAGGCGGAAAGAUCGGCCGCUCGUUCGCCAUGGAUGAGCCAGACGACACCUCUUGCUCUACUUCCGCAUCCCUGGAUCUCUUCAUGAUGAGCCUGUUCUGCCAAUCCACCGAUCGGUGGUCAUCACCGCCCGCCGAUGAACGUCGGUCUUCCAUUGCGCAUUCGUCAAGCCCACGGGCCUUGGCGUCUGCGCCCUCCGCUUCCUCGCCUUUGGUACGACGGGUUUGAUGGCUUGGCGAGGGGCGGCGUACUUCUUCGGCGGCAUGGUGGGGGAGAGAAGAUGGUGAGAAUGGAGGGAACAUCGGGCGGGGGGGGGGGGGGAGGAUGUAGAUGAUGGGGAGGGAAAGGGAGGGAAAAGGAAGAAACGAUGGGAAAGUAGACCAGUGGUGCCGAUAGUGCAGCCCCACGUGACUUUUCGGUUCAUCCGACGCUCCAAGGCACCCCAAUCUUGCUCGGUUAGGCCUGGGUCCGCCGGCACCGAUUUUGGCCCAAACCGGCGUAAAACGAGGUCCUGGGUGCGCGACUGGGCGAUUUUCUAGCGUCGACGAUAAAAAAGGGGCCGGGGGGGGGGGGGCUAUUGGGGGUGUGGCUGUAGAUGCUCUAAGCAUCAUGUGUGGAUUACAAAGCUCGAUUUUUAGAAACCGAUUAACACUAUUGAACAUGAUAUUAUCCUGAAAUUCUAAAGUUUAAAGGAUUUGAAGAGAAAUGGAGAGUUCAAAUCAAGGAGAUCUUAUCCUUUGAAACACCUACCAUCCUUUGGAAUGGUGUGCCUAGUAAGAAAUUGCAAUGAAAACAUGGGAUUCAGUAUGGUGACCCACUGUUACACUUCCAUUUGUCUUGGUAGUGGAUUUACCUUAGUCUAUUCUCAAUGACAUGUAUCAUUGUGGGGGUUAUCCUUUCUAGUCCCAUCUUAUGAUCCAAACUAUCCAAUUGUGCACUAUGCUAAUUAUAUGUUGUUGAUUAUGUCGGAUGUUGAUUUCUCAACUUCUUGAACUAAAAUAAAUGUUACAACCUUUUCUAAAUCCACUCGUUUGCAAGUGAUUUUUUUUUUGUAAUCCUCCAUGGCCACUAGUAGGAAAAUGGCCUAUAGCCCGGGACUAAACAACCGGGACUAAUGCAAGCCCUGGUUCGGCCCCGAACCGGGGCUAAUGGUCCUCCACGUGGCGGGGCUUGGAGCGAGGGGGGAAGGGGUAUUAGUCCCGGUUCUUAUUACGAACCGGGACUAAAGGCUCCACCUGAUUUAUUUUAUUUCACCCAAAAAGGUAGAUUUGUUUUUGAUUUUUUUUCACCCAUCCUCACUGAGGACUUAUUCUAAAUCGUCUAACUUCUCGACCGGUCACCCAUCCUCUAACUGCUUCAACCCGAGCACACUUAAUUUUCUGGUUCUAUCGCCCCUAGUUGCCAAGUCUCCACUUGUUGUUUGCCUGACAAUAGUAAGCUAUCAAUCCUAAACAACCUGGGUUCUUGAUGUCAUGUCACAUGAUUUAAUUUUUUGAAUUCAAACAAUUAUAAAAAUAAACAAAAUAAGUAAUAAUAAUAGUGAAUUUCAAUGAAAACAACAUAAUAUUUUUAAAUAAAAUUAUUUUUCCUUAUUUUUCUCGGAAAAAACUUCUUUUUGAAAUAACUUUUUUUACAUUUGGAAUUUUGAGCAUGUGAGAAAAAUUCAGCGGGCAAACUUUUUUUGACGUCGUAUGCAAAAGUUAUGGCCGUUUUACAUUUUUUUCCUUUUUUGCAAAAACGGUCAAAAUUCAUAUCUCAAAAUUUCUAUACCAACUAGACACUAAAACCUAACUACAUCUCAAAGGAUUUUAUUUUUUGAAGACUUUAUCAUUUUUUCUUUAUUUUCUACAAAACUAAAAAAGACGGUCCGCGGGGGGUAGAGUUUGAAAAUUUCAGAAUCCCCCUUUAGCCAAGAGUCCAAUCAUACCCGUCGACUACAUCUGCUAGCACCGUCCCCGCCAGAGUCACAACUAAGGUUAACCAAGCCAGAGUAACCCUUUCUAACUUUAUUUGCUAUUUUUCAUGCAUUUAAUGAUUUUUUGAGCUAAAUGUCCCUAAUAUGGAAAAGCACUAUUAUGAACUCUGAAAAUGUUGACACGUGGCAUGGUAUUAUCAUUUCACCCACAUAGCUUGUGCUAAAAAGUUGAGAGGGUUACGGCAAAAACUGGAUGCACUUCGUGUACAAGCUGGACCAUCUCCUUCGAAGUAUCCAGGUUUCACACGAAAACCCAUCUGCUACAAAGGCAUUUUAUUUUUUACUUAUUUCAACUCCAGAAUUUUUGUGUACUUUGUGCAUUCAAUAUGCACCAUUCAAAACCACAUCCUAAAAUUUCAACCCUUUAUAACUUCAUUUGCUAUUUUUCAUGGAUUUAAUGAUUUUUUGACCUAAAUGACCCUGAAAUUGAAAAGCUCGACAAAUGAACUCUGAAAAGGUUUAAACGUGGCAUGGUAUCAUCAUUUCACCCACAUAUCAUGUGCUAAAAAGUUGAGAGGGUUACGACAAAAACUGGAUACACUUCGUGUACAAAACGGACAAUCUCUUUCGAAGUAUCAGGGUUUCGAACAAAAACUCAUCUCUUGCUAAGGGACUUCAUUUUUUGAACUUAUUUGAACUCCAUACUUUUUGUGUAUUCAAAAUGCACCGUUCAAAGCCACAUCAUAAGUUUUCAACAUUUUGUGACUUCAUUUGGUAUUUUUCACGCAUUUACUUAUUUUUUGUGCUAAUUGACCCUGAAAUUGAAAAGCACUACAAAUGAACUCUGAAAAGGUUUAAAGUUGGCAUGGUAUCAUCAUUUCACCCACAUGGCAUGUGCUAAAAAGUUGAGGGAGUUACGGCAAAAACUGAAUGUACUUCGUGUACAAAACAGACAAUCUCCUUCGAAGUAUCAAGGGUUGAGACGAAAACCCAUCUGCUAGAAAGAGAUUUCAUUUUUUUAACUUAUUUGAACUCCAUACGUUUUGUGUGUUCAAUAUGCAUCAUUCAAAGUCACCUCAUAAAUUUUCAACCCUUUCUUACCUCAUUUUCUAUUUUCCAUGCAUUUAAUGAUUUUUUGAGCUAAAUGCCCCUAAAAAUGAAAAGUGCUACAAAUGAACUCUGAAAAGGCUGAAACUUGUCAUGGAAUCAUCAUUUCACCCACAUGGCAUGUGCUACAAAGUUGAGAGGGUUACGGCAAAAACUGGAUGCACUUCGUGUACAAACUGGAUCAUCUCCUUCGAAGUAUCAAGGUUUCAGACGAAAACCCAUCCGCUACAAAGGCAUUUUUUUAAAAUUAUUUCAACUCUAGACUUUUUGUGCAUUCAAUAUGCAUCAUAUUACAACAUGUUACAAUCUACAGAAAGAGCUAACUAAAAAUAAUAAAAAACAACAAUUAAAUGACUAAAACAACUAUAUAAGCAAAACAAUAUUGUUUUAAUUAAAAACCUAAUUUAAAUUAUUCUAAAAAUAACAAAAUAAAUCUUACCGUGACAACAAUCUAACACAUGACUAGGAGCAAAAAGAAUUAAAUUAAAACUAUUUGUAAACUCAAAUUAUUCACAAUUUAGGUUUGAAGCAAAAUUGAACAAAUUCAAAUUUAAACCAAUCAAAUUUAAAAACUAAUGGCACAAACAGAAACUAGACAAUAUUUUGAAUCUAAUGCAAAAAGAAUCACUCAAAAACAUCAAAUAUCCUAAAAGAUAUAAGCAAUUUAAAACAUAAACUACAAAUAGAAAACAAAUUAAAAAAAAUUCAAAACCCCUUUAGUCAUGGUUCGUGUCUUGAACCGGGACUAAAGGUCCCUUUAGUCCCGGUUCAAGACACGAACCGUGACUAAAGCCUCCAAACCCUUUAGUCCCGGUUCAAGACACGAACCGUGACUAAAGCCUCCAAACCCUUUAGUCCCGGUUCAAGACACGAACCGUGACUAAAGCCUCCAAACCCUUUAGUCCCGGUUCAAGACACGAACCGGGACUAAAGGUCCCAUUUAAACCGGGACUAAUGCCCGACUGGCGCCCUUGUUGCUCGAACCAGGACUAAUGCUAACAUUAGUCCCGGUUCGUAAUGGAACCGGGACUAAUGUGUAAAUUAAGCUGGGACGGAAGCCCUUUUUUCUACUAGUGGGCGCUUAUAAAUGUGGUUGUCGAUGAAGCUUCUCGUUUGGCUAGUUUGUUUGAGUGCCAACUGGGUAAGAUGCCUUUCACUUAUCUUGCUUUACCUAUGUGUAACACUAGUUGCAAGAUUCAUGACUUAAUGCCUUCGGUUAAUAUAUAGAAUGGAAAGGAGAAUGACAACUAUCUCUUCUCUAGUUUCACGAGGUGCUAGGUUGAAACUUUUGAGGUCUACCAUUUCAUCCAUGCUGAUAUUACUAUCUUUGUAGUGUCUAGAUCCCUGUGGCAUAACUAGACAACUAGAGAGAAUUGAGCAGAAUGCCUCUAGUAUUAAUGCUAAUAUCCCAAAUCAACCAUUGUCGACAUUUCAUCUAAUAUAUAGACUGAAGGAGAAUGGUGGUAUGGGCAUCAGCUGGAAAAUUCAACACCAAGCUUUGCUUAGAGAAGACAUGCGCAAAUUUUAUAACAAAGCUCAUGUUCUAUGGUAUAUUUGCUAUGGAAUUAUUACAAUCAUGGACUCAUGCCUCACGCAACAGUCCUUUCUGGCUCUUACGAAUGGAGGAUAUUUUGAAACUUACACUAGAUUCGAAUAGCACUGACCGGCAAAAUAGUCUCAUCACUGACACACUUUUGGCUCGUCCGAUGCCUUGGGCUGAGUGAUGACAUUGUCACCACAGACGGGACAUCUGGCCUCUGAAUGAUGCCUAACCAGUAUUGUCCGCUGGCUGGUCGGUGAUAACAAUUUCACUCACUUUUGGAUGUUUGCGCUUUAUUUAUGUUUGUUUAUAAAAAAUGCAAAUGAAAUUGACAAAAACAUAGGAAUACCAUACACAUGCAUAAAUCAUUCAUUUGCACACUGGAUACUUUGCUUUUCACGCACGAUUCACAUGUAAAUUUACACAGUUCACAUCUACCAUAUAAAGAGUACUAAGCAAAACUGCACACUUCAUAAUACACAUGUCACUGAGGCCAUGUUCGGUAAUCCACCAGAUCUUGGAAUGUGUGGAGCUGGGAAACUGCAGCUCCCGUAUUAUGAACUACAGCUCCACCAGGUCCGCUCCCGGAGCUGUGGAGCGGAGCAUCUCCCAACAUGGCCUGAAUAUACCCAACCUCUUAUCAAACUAGAGAGGACUUACUCCCUCUGUACUUUCUCUGUUUCUAAAUAUAAGUUUUUUAAAGGUUUCAUUAGAGAACUACAUAUAGUAUAUAGACAUACUUUAGAGUAUAGAUUCAUUCAUUUUGCUCCGUAUGUAGUCUUCUAUUGAAAUCUCUAAAAAGACUUAUAUUUAAGAACAGAGGGAGUAAGUCCGCAUGCAACAAAAUUUGUCAAGACAAGUAACAUAAAAUAUCCAUUACCUGAUUUAAUACAUGUAGUUAAGAAUAUCAUAGCUAAGCUCAAUGUAAUUACACCCUGCUCGAGGAAUCUCUCGUCUGCUCCAAAAAGCAGCAGAUAAUAACAAAAGUGGAUAUUUACUGUGUGUCUAGAGAUGACAAAAUAUUUCAAGAUUGGUUUCAAAUCCUAAGAAACUGUUCUUUUCUUGAAUGAUACUCACACUAAGUACACUCAACCCGUAUCCGAAAUGAGGAGUCUAGAGUAGCCCGGACCUACUACCCUUAAGACUUGGUCUUCCCUUCUUUGAUUUUUGUGUAGUGCAACUAAAAGGUAUGUCAACUGAAAAUAUUUUUUUAUCCAGAUUUAGUUGAAUUUCAUUAGCAAUUGAAAAGUGAAGUAAUAUGUGUAGGCCAAAUAUGCCGUUCACUUGAACAAUAUUCCACUCUGUCUCCUAAUGAGGUAGUUGGUUGCGUUUAAAAUAUUUUCUAGCAUAUUCAUCACUACAUUGCCACAUAUAACAUGCAUAAUAUAUAAUAUUUUCUAACAUAUUCAUAGGUACAUGGAACACAUAGAUAUUGUAAGAUUCAUAGCAAGAUAAUUACAUGCAUCCAGAAUUGUAACACAUCCAUGGCAUGCAUAUCACAAUUGAAAUUGCAACAUAAUUAUGAAGUAAUGGAGCUAACCACCGUGGAUGACAACAUUGGGGAUGCAUGAGACACGUCAACAAUAGGGCAGAUCCUCGGGGCAGAGAAACCCCGACAAUGACACAACUACGAUGACUGAUACAACGACCACCCGCGUUGCCCUCGAAGACCCGGUGUCCUAUGGAAGGGUGGUAAUGAAUCGACGGAAAUGCGGCAACGUCCCAACGAGGAAGCUCCAUCGGUCCAUUGGGUCGUCAUACGAGCGACAUCGUCGGGACGCAAUGACCGUGAAGGAAGGUCGUGGGGCCGUUGGCAAGCCCCCCACAUAUAAGCGAACGGAGGAAGAGGAGGGAUGAUAGGUACGCCAACAGGAUGGAAGGACUCCAUGGCGGCUGUGAGGGUAUAGAAUGAAAACAUGGAGUGGACAAUGAUUAAAACAAGGCGCGUACAGAACAACACCAACAUGCUAAAAAUCAAAAGGGCAAGAUUGAAGAUGACAUUACAGACGGGUCAAAUACAGGAGCCAAUUUGAUUAUCUUAGGUCCAAUUUGAACAUCGGGACACCAUAUAAUUGAACAAUAUUUUGUAGACCAAUCUAUGAUAAUCGUCAAGAUGAGCAUAGGGAUACAUAUUACUAACACACCCUCGAGGGUCGGUCAGUGUUAUGGCUGAUUAGUGACGCAUAGUUCAAAGCCGCACAGGGAUGAGGGGCGAAUGCUAUUCUCAUAUGUAGUAUUGUCAACGAUCAAUAUAGGCCAUCUCUUCAUUCAAAGUUAAUAUGGAUGACUCUGCCCUAUUCUUCUCUGCCUGAAUGAUUGAGGGAUCUUCUCGACCUCUUUGACAUCAUUUGGCAAUGCUCUCUCUUUUGCCUUAGAUGUCAAAGUUUCUCUCAAAGAUUUUAUAGAAACGCCUGAUCAGGCCACUCUUUUGCACCUACCAAUUUCCGGUGAGGUGAUGGAUAAGCUGGAACCUCUGGAUGGUUCAUUACAUAGCCUUCAACACAACCAAACAUUGCCUGAUGUUUAUUCUUGGUCAGGAGCAUCAUUUUUUGCUAAAAGCUUCUACUCCAUUGAAAGGACGUGGAUGUCGCCUAGAGGGGUGGUGGUGAAUAGGCGCUUUAAAUGACGGUUUAGGCUUGAACAAAUGCGAAAUAAAACUAAUGUUUAAUUAGUCAAGCACAAAACCUAAAAAAACAAGGCUCACCUAUGUGCAACAAGAACUUAUGCUAAGCAAGAUAAACAAAUUAAGUGAUAGCAAGAUAUAGACCAAGAAACAAUAUGGCUAUCACAAAGUAAAUAGCGUAGGUAAAUAGGCUCGGUAAGGAGUUAACCGAGGCACGCGGAGACGACAAUGUAUCCCGAAGUUCACAUCCUUGCGGAUACUAAUCCCCGUUUGGAGUAGUGUGGAGGCACAUUGCUCCCCAAGAUGCCACUACGGUCAUCGUAAUCUCCUCACGCCCUCGCACAAUGCAAGAUGCCGUGAUUUCACUAAGGGACCCUUGAGGGUGGUCACCGAACCCGUACAAACAAGGUUGGAGCAUUCUCCACAACUUAAUUGGAGGCUCCCAACAACACCACGAAGAUUCACCACGAUGGUCUAUGGCUCCGAGAUGACCUCAAAUGCUCAGGGCAAUCUCCACAACCUAAUUGUAGACCCUGACGCUUGCCCAGAGCUUUACACCAUAAUGAUUGAGCUCCGAGGCAUCACCAAGCUUCUAGGACGCCAAAGCACCCAAGAAGGACAAGCUCUAGGGUACCAAGCACCCAAGAGUAAUAAGCUUCUCAACUUCUCACUUUCAUGUACCACCGUGGAGAACUCAAACCGAUGCAACUAAUGCAAUGGCAAGAACACACAAAGUGAUCAAGUCCCUCACGCUCAAAUCCCUCCAGAACAACAAAAGCUAUGGAGGAAUAUGAGAGGAAGACCAAGGAGCUCACUAAGAACUCCAAGUUCAAGAUCCAAGGGGUUCCCCUCACAUAGAGGAGAAAGUGAUUGGUGGAAUUAUGGAUCUAGAUCUCCUCUCUCUUUUCCCUUAAGAACUAGCAAGAAUCAUCAGAGGGAUUGAGAGUUAGCAUGCUAGAAGAAGGUCAACAAUGGGGGGCAAACACGAGCUCAACAGAUGGGGAACCAUUGGGGAAGAAGACCCCCUUAAAUAAGUUCCCCCAAAUCCAAUCGUUAUGUGCACAGGUCGUGCACAAGCGGUACUACCGCUUGGCUGAGCGGUACUACCGCUGGCACGAAAGUACCGGGCUUCAUAGGCAGAUUGAGAAAGUCAGGGAGGCGGUAGUUCUACCGGUGCGGUACUACCGCUCCUGCCAGCGGUACUUUCACUUAGCACUACCCACUCAAAAUCUGCUCGGAAGACGAAGAUACAAGAGAGCUCAAAAUAAGCGGUAGUAGUAGCGGUACUGGAGAGCGGUAGUACCACUUGAGUAGUACUACCGCUUCCACCGCAGCGGUACUUCCGCUUACGAGAAAAAAACUGCCCUGAUACUAAAAUGGCUACAAACCUGCCGUGCGGAUGAAAGAAGGGUCGGCGCAUUGGGUGCAUGGCUGACCUAAAAGAAAAACAGGGCGGACAAGCCGAUCCAAAUGUAUAAAACACGGACAAAACGAGCAUCCGUUUGGGUCGCCCUGCUGGAGUUGCUCUAACCUCCAUUAGAUAAAUAGGUAAGUAGGUAAGUGUUUUUUCCUUUUUUCCUUUGUUCCCGUUUGUAAUUAUUUAUUGCUUGCUUUUGUUUUGAAGAAAUAAAGGACGGCGGAGCUGUUACUCCAUAGUACUUACAAAAAAUGAGUUUUAUUUCUUGAUUUUCACUAGCAUGAUUACAAUCCUUCUGAAGGAGCUCAUGCAAUGCAUGUUGGAGAUUUAUUCCAAUAGUUGCAUAAUAUGGUUCGAAUGUUGUUGUUAUAUCUAGUUCAGUUAGAUGCUUAUUAUCCAGACCAUCACAAGUUCUUUAGUAAGUGUCUCUACUAAGAAUAUGUGUCAUCCUAUUCUACUAGCAAAAACCGAUGAAAAUGAUGGUAGUGACAUGGAAAAGAUACCACAGCUAUUUUGUUAUUGAUAUAAGUAAAGAAACUGAAAAUUGCAAUUGUCAAUCAGUGGGUCUUAAUGUCAAAUACAGGAAUCUUCCACCCACUAGCUGCGAGACAUCCAUUGCAGUGCUAAAUAAAAUAAACUUUUCCGAUAAUUAACAGCAAGACAAUGGUCCGCUUGUUGUAUAUUAUAAAUAUGGCACAGGUGUUGUAUAUGUGUAGGCCGUGCUAGAAUUUACAUAUGCAUAUAUGCUCCACAACCUAUGCUCGUACAAACACAGAUCAUAGAGAUGCAAAUUAUGCUCUAGUCGGAAAGCAGAGUCAUGGACAAAAGUGAAGUUCACAGAANNNNN
RNAcentral lists this long non-coding RNA (12886 nucleotides) under Hordeum vulgare. RNAcentral's name for it is "long non-coding RNA (HVUL_LNC002673)". Lineage: Eukaryota; Viridiplantae; Streptophyta; Magnoliopsida; Poales; Poaceae. The record is from RNAcentral.